CCUACGGGAGGCAGCAGUGGGGAAUUUUGGACAAUGGGGGCAACCCUGAUCCAGCCAUGCCGCGUGAGUGAAGAAGGCCUUCGGGUUGUAAAGCUCUUUCGGCCGGAACGAAAUCGCGCACGUGAAUAACGUGCGUGGAUGACGGUACCGGAGUAAGAAGCACCGGCUAACUACGUGCCAGCAGCCGCGGUAAUACGUAGGGUGCGAGCGUUAAUCGGAAUUACUGGGCGUAAAGCGUGCGCAGGCGGUUCGCUAAGUCAGACGUGAAAGCCCCGGGCUUAACCUGGGAACGGCGUUUGAAACUGGCGGGCUCGAGUACGGCAGAGGGGGGUGGAAUUCCACGUGUAGCAGUGAAAUGCGUAGAUAUGUGGAGGAACACCGAUGGCGAAGGCAGCCCCCUGGGCCGAUACUGACGCUCAUGCACGAAAGCGUGGGGAGCAAACAGGAUUAGAUACCCUGGUAGUCCACGCCCUAAACUAUGUCAACUAGUUGUCGGGGAAGCAAUUCCUUGGUAACGCAGCUAACGCGUGAAGUUGACCGCCUGGGGAGGUACGGUCGCGAGAUAAACUUAAAUAGAUAGAGCGUGAGAGNGCGACGACGACGACGAGGGAGAGG
This 615-nucleotide ribosomal RNA is filed under the name uncultured bacterium. RNAcentral describes it as "bacterial SSU rRNA". It matches the Rfam family "Bacterial small subunit ribosomal RNA", at positions 338 to 944 of the family's 1533-position model. The record is from RNAcentral.